CAGCCGCCGCGGUAAUACGAAAGUCCCGAGCGUUGUUCGGAAUCACUGGGCGUAAAGGGAGCGUAGGCGGCGUGGUAAGUCAGAUGUGAAAUCCCGGGGCUCAACCCCGGAACUGCAUCCGAUACUGCCAUGCUAGAGGAUUGGAGAGGUAGCUGGAAUUCUUGGUGUAGCAGUGAAAUGCGUGGAGAUCAAGAGGAACACUCGUGGCGAAAGCGAGCUACUGGACAAUAACUGACGCUGAGGCUCGAAGGCCAGGGUAGCGAAAGGGAUUAGAUACCCCCGUAGUCCCUGUCUCUUAUAC
RNAcentral lists this ribosomal RNA (301 nucleotides) under uncultured bacterium. Its description in RNAcentral is "partial 16S ribosomal RNA". It matches the Rfam family "Bacterial small subunit ribosomal RNA", at positions 509 to 807 of the family's 1533-position model. The record is from RNAcentral.